GCAGCCGCGGUAAUACGAAGGGUGCAAGCGUUGUUCGGAUUUACUGGGCGUAAAGCGUCCGUAGGUGGUUUGUUAAGUCAGGGGUGAAAUCCCAGGGCCCAACCCUGGAACUGCCUUUGAUACUGGCAAGCUGGAGCGUGAUAGAGGAAGAUGGAAUAUCUGGUGUAGGGGUGAAAUCCGUAGAUAUCAGAUGGAACACCAAUGGCGAAGGCAGUCUUCUGGAUCAUUGCUGACACUGAGGGACGAAAGCGUGGGUAGCAAACAGAAUUAGAUACCCC
RNAcentral lists this ribosomal RNA (278 nucleotides) under uncultured bacterium. Its description in RNAcentral is "partial 16S ribosomal RNA". It matches the Rfam family "Bacterial small subunit ribosomal RNA", at positions 511 to 788 of the family's 1533-position model. The record is from RNAcentral.